CACACACACACGUGGUCAUUGCAAAACCCCGUUUCCCGCCAUUGAGAAAGUGACGUAUGGAAUUAUUGAGAAAAUGAAAUUUGUUCGAGCUCUUCCAUGAGCCUUGACUUAAACAACCUCAUAAACCCAAAGAGGUGAAUGAUUCACUGUUCAAAACACGGAGAGGAACGUUGGUAAAAGCCUGGAGGCGACAAACAUGCAGGUGUUGCUGAUCUGGAGGGAAACACGGGGAUCAGUGUGAGUCCUCGGAUGGGGGUGUUCAUCCGCCCAAGCGUCGGGGUCAUCGAUGUAUUACGUACCGACUGGGGAGACGUUGUGGAAAAGAAGGGGAUGUGUAUGAUACAAGCUGAAGUUGUCCAUUCUCCCUUUAACCUUCUCUCCAUCGGACCGAUCCUCUUCCUCACGUCGAAGUGAAAAAUCUGAAACAAGAAUUGUGCGUUUGACCUUGAUUCCGGUGAUUCCGCUGAAUCACGGGAACUUGUUUUGUAUUCCCGGGGAAUGGAUACACGUGGUUCAACGGAUAAAAACAUCGGAAGGUGGAACCUCCAACUCUUGUAAAUUGCUUUGCUUCGUGCUGAGGGUCAUGGACCGAGACCACCUGAGGUACUCCCACGAUCCGAGCUCCUCGGACUCCAAGUCGGGUUCUGAUGGAGGGACCAGAGGGGGUCCAGGAGGGGCUGAUGGGAUCUGCGGGUUCAGGAUCCUGGACGUUCAGAACCUUCGUGAUGGAGGGGACGGGACGGACCAGGAACCAGAUCCUAUAGUGGUGGUGAAGGUGGAACCUGAACCUGCAGGUGGUUCUCCACCACCAGGUGAAAUGGAUCCAGUGGAAGCGGAAUAUUUCCAUGGAAACACUCUUCCAACUUCAAAGAGUGUACAUGUGAAGGAAGAGCUGGGUGAAGAUUCUCCCUCUGAAGAUGAGAAAUCGAGGACGAUCUUCAGGAUGUUUUCCUGCACCAAGAAUGUUCAUACCUCCAAAGAGAGAUCUUUACGACCAGACCAGAAGAGUCACUGUGCGAUUUGCAAGGAUUAUGAACAGAAUUUUAACCAUGACCAGGAGAAAAUUCCCAUGACUGCUGCCGAACGUCAGGCCAAAUGUCGUGCCAAACUAAAGGAGAGCAGGGAAAACUAUGCUGAACAUAAAAAGAAGAAUGUUCAGUACCAGAUGAAGAGCAGGUGCAAGAAGAAAGAGCGAGAAUUAAGUCUCCCAAACCGUGACCAAAAGCUCAUACAGGAGCACCGCCGCGAAGAAACCAGGAAGCGCGUAGCAAAGUGGCGUGCAUUGAAGAAACAAGAGGCAAAAGACAAGGGCCCAGCUGCACUGAUAGUGCCAUUUAGGAAUGCACAUGU
This 1350-nucleotide long non-coding RNA is filed under the name Eptatretus burgeri (inshore hagfish). RNAcentral's name for it is "lncRNA (ENSEBUG00000017535.1)". Lineage: Eukaryota; Metazoa; Chordata; Myxini; Myxiniformes; Myxinidae. The record is from RNAcentral.